GCCCUGGUAGUGUAGUGGCCUAUCAUGGAGCCCUGUCGAGGCUCCGACCCGGGUUCAAUAACUUGGCGCCAUCGCCAGGCUGAAAGUCCCGGCCGGGGCG
This 100-nucleotide transfer RNA is filed under the name Candidatus Woesearchaeota archaeon. RNAcentral describes it as "tRNA-Asp". Lineage: Archaea; Nanobdellati; Candidatus Woesearchaeota. The record is from RNAcentral.